CCUGUGAGAAGAUUUCCCGUGUUUGCAGCUAGCUCACACAGCAAGGUCUUUCCAGAAAAGAUGUCCCAGAUGCCAAAGCUGACACAUCAGAAAGAUCAUCAUUUGAAGGGCUGCUUCCCACUGGGAAAAAGCAUGAUUUGGGUGAGUGGUCUUUUCCACCAGAGUCCAAAUUCUCUAGGACUUUGGCCAUCUCAGAAUAGGGUCGCCUUAUAAAUUUUUGCCAAUACGGUAAUUCUAAUAUAGUCAUUUUCAAAGUGGAGAGACUUCAAUGAAAGAAUUCUCCUGAUGGAUGCAAAUUGCUUCCCAAACAUGUGAGUCUUUUCUUCUCUUCUCCUGAGUAAAUGCCACGCAAUCCUCCAACUGUCAUUUACAGAGAACUAAUCGCUUCUUACUAGUAACUUAUUAAGUGAAUCACUAAGGAUGACUGAAUUUGGAAUUUGUGUGUGACCAGAAUAUUUUUAGUCAGUGUUCUAUCCCAGAUUCUGUCAUCCAUGCAACAAGUGGCCCCUUGCAAAGCUCUGGCUGUGCGGGCACGCUGUAGAUGGCCAGAAUGCCCGUGCUUGGGAGGAAGCAAGUUUUGUUAUCUCUUUUAUCAGUUGCUGCUACUGUGUUACCCAUGUGGUUGGUUUGAGAUGAUCUGAUCUUCUCAACAAUGUUUACAUCAGUAUUUGGUCCUGUAAUUUUCUAAUGACAGAUUGAAAGAUAUGUGAACAUCGUGGUUCAAAUAGGAAUGAUCAUUACCCCAACCGCAGAAGCAAAUGUUUACAUAAUGCCACCCCCUCCCCCCAAAAACAAGCUGCUUGUACAUUGACACUUCAUUAUUAUAAACAAGUCUCAUCUUUCUUCCAUUGGAAAGUGUAAAAGAAUAGACGGAUAACGAGGUCCCCACCUAAGCGAGUUGUAAAAAAAGUUUGGGGGUUAUUGUUUUUCUCAGGGAAGAUUUUUUAAAUGCAAUUUUAUUUUUUAAAUGUUAUAAAUUUCUAUGAUUCAAAAGUCAAAAUAAUAUUGAAAGUAUAAUUGAGAAGUUUCACUCUCUCUGCUACCCGAGUCUCCUUGGAUUUUCCACUCCACCCCACAGAAGUCACCACUUUCUUAGUUCCCUGUAUAUCUGCCUAGCUUUUUUGGGGGGCGGGGGAGGAGGAAGAUUGGCCCUGAGCUAACAUCUGUGCCAAUCUUCCUCUAUUUUUUGCAUGUGGGAUGCCACCUCAGCACGGCUUGAUGAGUGGUGUGAAAUUCGGCACCCAGGGUCUGAACAUGCGAACCCCGGGCUGCAAAAGUAGAGUGCGAACUUAACCACUAUGCCACUGGUCCAGCUCCACCUAGCACGGUUUUUAUGCAAAUAGAGGUAGUCGUGUUUUCCUCUAAAAGGGAGAGAUAAAUAUUCCACUAAUGCACAAAGCUCCCCUGAGCCCACAUUAGGAGGUAAAGUGAAUAAGGUAGAUAAGUUCAGAGGUGACCCUAGAAGACAGAAAUAAUCUCUGAAGUCUAUCUUCCUAUGACUGUCAGCAGCACCGGCCUUUUUUUACAUACCUGGCUCUUGGGAAAAUAAUGGAAUAGAGUGUUUUCUCCUGACUCCCUGGCUCUGCUUUCAUAUUCUGCAUCAUCCCUUGUCAACAAUACCAUAAAAGUCCCCGACAAAGAUCCAUCUUUUGUUCUACACCCCACACCCACCUCCAAUAAACAUAUCAGUCCCUGUGGGGACGGGUAAAUGGAUUCCAAUGUACACAGUAUUCAAGGACGAAAUGUCUGGCUCAUUCAAAUCAAGGUUUCCUCCAACUGGAAGCAGUCCUUCAAAAUGAGUCUGAUGGGGAAACUUGAUACUGGAGGAUGUCCCAAACAUGCAAUAGUCUACGGAUUUAUGGAGGGCUUAUUAUGUGCCAGGUGUUGUGGCAGAUGCCAGGUGGAAGGGCAAGUAGGACACAGGUCCCACCCUCCCGGACCUCAGAGGCUCAGGAGGAGAGUUACAGGGCAUUGUAAUAAGAGUCACGAGGAAGGGCCCUAACCAGGGUGGAGAGCUCAGGGAAGGUGUCUCAGGAGAGGCCUCAUCAAAGCUGAGACAAGAGGGGUAAGGAGGACUCAGUCAGGCAGUGAGUGGGGAUUUGAGGCAGCAUUAUGUGCAACGGCCUUGGGAUGAGCAAGCCAUGGCUCUUUCCUCCUCUCCUACGACUUCCUUUCCAAGUGGGACCUGGUGGAGAUCAUUCUGGUAAGCAGUGAUUUGAAUGCAGUGCAGGGGCAGUAGGAGUUGGAGGCGCUCAGGAGCGAGUGGAAGUGUGGAGUCCCUCACAUCACAACACAUGGACGUGUGCCUGCUCAAGGACCCCCAAGCUUAUUCCAGGCACACUGCAUACAUUGCUUGGAAACCUCAGAAAAUAUCAUGGCAAUGGGAGCUUCGAGGGAAAGGUCUCGAAAUGUCAAUGAGUCAGAAGGACACUGACCACAAGCAAAGCAAAAGCAACUGGCAUUCUUGACGAACUUCUUGAGAAGAAGACUCACUGGGCCCUGAAGAAAGUGCUGCCCAAGCCCCUCUUGUUUCUCUGAAGUGAACCUUGUGGGGAGGGAGGGGCAGACACUCAACACUCCAGGGACAGGGGUUCAAGUCCCAGCUCAGCCACUUCACCAUGGGGAAACCUCAAGCUAGUCAUGCACUGGCUCUGAGUCAUGGUAUCCCAGUGACCAUGAAUAUGUAUGAUAAUCCUUCCUUCUUAAAGUCAUUGUGAGGGUCCACGGCGUUGUAAACCACCAGAAAACCUACAAAUGCUACUUGUAAGUGAAGGGAGGGUGUGCAUAAACCGUAAUCACCACCCCGAAAGGCAGGAACAAGGAUCUCAACCGGUCCCCUCUGCCGUGGCACACAGCAUCUAGGAGGCCUGCAGCACAGCUUGUCUUUGGACAGAAAGAGCUCAGUCUUGGGUGAGUUCGGGAGAAGCACAUGCAGGGCCAGAUGCAGCUGUGACAGGUUUCCGCAUAUCUCAUCAGAUAGCCUUCUUUCUCUCAUCUUCUCUGCGUCUCCCCUCCUCAGCUCCCUGGGGUCCCUGUGCCUGGAACCUGGCUAGGAGCCUCUCGUGGGGGUCUCUCCCUACCUACAGGGUGGAGGAAGGCCCCCAGGUUUAGGACUUUCAGAGACUUCAGAGGGCAGCACCCAUGACACCCACCUUUCUCCGGCUCCCUUGACUGCCUUUGGCAGUGUCGUUUCAGCGUGCGAUUGUGCUAAAAGACUUCUGUCCCAUGAGGAAGAAACGAGAUGGAUGAGGCAGGUGGAAAGCCUGUCUCGCUGUAUGAGAAAAAUCAUGGUAGAAGAGGGCAUGAAAAGAAGGCAAAAUAAGGACAUGGAAAAUUCCUGAUAAAGACUGCGCGAAGCCUGAAGACGCGAUCACCUUCUUUCACAGUCAUUCCCAAUCCUUUGACACGUGCUGCUGUGGGGCCUGAGGCACUCGCAGCAGAGCCUGAAGGUUUUAGGGCUGAAACAAAAUGCAGUGGCCAAGGAAAACUCUUCUCGGAUUCUACCGCCUCUCUACGCACGCAUCACCUCUCACACCUCACACCACAGCCCCGAGGAGACCGAGGAGCACCCGAGCCACACACCCGAACUUCUUGUUGCUUGAAAGCAUUGAGCCUGGCUUCCUCCCCAAUUCAAACUGCAUGAUCUGACCUACAACUACGAGUGCUUGUCCUCGGUACUGACAAAGGAUGGGUGGUAGGCACAGGGACUCCAGAAACGGAGAAACAGGUAUGAAAGUGGAGCGCUUGUCCUUCCUGCAGGAUGGGGGAGUGGCUAAAAGUUUGGAUUCUGGAGUCAGACUGAGAAGGUCCAAAUUCCACCUCCUCUGCUUCUUGUCGGGGUGACCUGCUUUCUCAACCACCUGAGCCCUCCGAUCCGUCUCUGUCAGUGGGAUAAGCAGACUUUGUGUGCUUCUUCAGGUGAUGCAACGUAAAAUACACAGCGCCAACUCCCACACAUUUUUGCCUUAAAAAUAAAAAUUGGCCCUGAAACUAAUCAGGUCUCUAGCUCUCUUACCAAGUCACAGGAAAUACAGGGGACUGAGGAACAAAUUAAGCAACACUACGAAGAAGCAAGCAGCGGAGCCCCGAACGUGGAACAUUCUGUAAGAUAAACGACCUGGUGUCUUCAACAAGUCAACAGCAUGGAAAAGGGAAAAAAUGAGGAGUGGGAACUGUUAAGGAAUAAAAGAGACCUAAAAGAGAGAGAUGCCUUAAAAACAGCCCUAAAGAGACAUCUGUGAGAGAAUGAACCUAAUAGUAAGGAAUAGCUGUUCAUUUUGUGAGGUUGGAUAAGGGCGUGGUGGUUAUAUUCCAAAAAGUCCUUACCGAUUACAGGUGCACACUGAAGUAUUUGUGGUGAAAGGAUGUGUGUCUGAGAUUCAUAGGGUCAGGGAGGAAUAUUAAAAUAGUUGGAGCUG
RNAcentral lists this long non-coding RNA (4418 nucleotides) under Equus caballus (horse). Its description in RNAcentral is "lncRNA (ENSECAG00000031293.3)". The record is from RNAcentral. Lineage: Eukaryota; Metazoa; Chordata; Mammalia; Perissodactyla; Equidae.